Long non-coding RNA from Sapajus apella (tufted capuchin), 159 nucleotides. RefSeq lists it as uncharacterized. The transcript is spliced from 3 exons. The record is from RefSeq and is a predicted model, not a curated record. Lineage: Eukaryota; Metazoa; Chordata; Mammalia; Primates; Cebidae.
CAAUUAAUAAAAAUCUACCAACAAUUGGAUGAAGAGUCAAGGCCGAUCGGUGUGCUGUAUUCAGGAGACUCAUCUCAUGUGCAAAGACACACAUAGCCUCAAAAUAAAGGAAUGGAGGAAGAUUUACCAAGCAAAUGGAAGGCAAGAAAAAAAAGGAGG